GCUUACACAUGCAGUCGAACGAUGAACCUCUUCGGAGGGGAUUAGUGGCGAACGGGUGAGUAACACGUGGGCAAUCUGCCCUGCACUCUGGGACAAGCCCUGGAAACGGGGUCUAAUACCGGAUACGACCAUCUCGGGCAUCCGAUGGUGGUGGAAAGCUCCGGCGGUGCAGGAUGAGCCCGCGGCCUAUCAGCUUGUUGGUGGGGUGAUGGCCUACCAAGGCGACGACGGGUAGCCGGCCUGAGAGGGCGACCGGCCACACUGGGACUGAGACACGGCCCAGACUCCUACGGGAGGCAGCAGUGGGGAAUAUUGCACAAUGGGCGGAAGCCUGAUGCAGCGACGCCGCGUGAGGGAUGACGGCCUUCGGGUUGUAAACCUCUUUCAGCAGGGAAGAAGCGCAAGUGACGGUACCUGCAGAAGAAGCACCGGCUAACUACGUGCCAGCAGCCGCGGUAAUACGUAGGGUGCGAGCGUUGUCCGGAAUUAUUGGGCGUAAAGAGCUCGUAGGCGGCUUGUCACGUCGGAUGUGAAAGCCCGGGGCUUAACCCCGGGUCUGCAUUCGAUACGGGCAGGCUAGAGUUCGGUAGGGGAGAUCGGAAUUCCUGGUGUAGCGGUGAAAUGCGCAGAUAUCAGGAGGAACACCGGUGGCGAAGGCGGAUCUCUGGGCCGAUACUGACGCUGAGGAGCGAAAGCGUGGGGAGCGAACAGGAUUAGAUACCCUGGUAGUCCACGCCGUAAACGUUGGGAACUAGGUGUGGGCGACAUUCCACGUCGUCCGUGCCGCAGC
Molecule: ribosomal RNA, 790 nt
Filed under: Streptomyces sp. DB7
Lineage: Bacteria; Bacillati; Actinomycetota; Actinomycetes; Kitasatosporales; Streptomycetaceae
Description: bacterial SSU rRNA
Rfam family: Bacterial small subunit ribosomal RNA
Source: RNAcentral